AGCGGCGGACGGGUGAGUAACGCGUGGGUAACCUGCCUCAUACAGGGGGAUAACAGUUAGAAAUGACUGCUAAUACCGCAUAAGACCACAGCACCGCAUGGUGCGGGGGUAAAAACUCCGGUGGUACAAGAUGGACCCGCGUCUGAUUAGCUAGUUGGUAAGGUAACGGCUUACCAAGGCGACGAUCAGUAGCCGACCUGAGAGGGUGACCGGCCACAUUGGGACUGAGACACGGCCCAA
Molecule: ribosomal RNA, 240 nt
Filed under: uncultured bacterium
Lineage: Bacteria
Description: partial 16S ribosomal RNA
Rfam family: Bacterial small subunit ribosomal RNA
Source: RNAcentral